UAGGGAAUUUUCGUCAAUGGGCGCAAGCCUGAACGAGCAAUGCCGCGUGAGUGAGGAAGGUCUUCGGAUCGUAAAGCUCUGUUACAGGUCAGAAAAGAAGAAAAGAGGAAAUGCUUUUUCUUUUGAUAGUAACCUGCCAGAAAGUCACGGCUAACUACGUGCC
This 163-nucleotide ribosomal RNA is filed under the name uncultured bacterium. Its description in RNAcentral is "partial 16S ribosomal RNA". It matches the Rfam family "Bacterial small subunit ribosomal RNA", at positions 355 to 509 of the family's 1533-position model. The record is from RNAcentral.